This 588-nucleotide ribosomal RNA is filed under the name Saccharomyces cerevisiae (brewer's yeast). RNAcentral's name for it is "partial large subunit ribosomal RNA". It matches the Rfam family "Eukaryotic large subunit ribosomal RNA", at positions 66 to 669 of the family's 3401-position model. The record is from RNAcentral. Lineage: Eukaryota; Fungi; Ascomycota; Saccharomycetes; Saccharomycetales; Saccharomycetaceae.
CAAACGGGAUGCCUUAGUACGGCGAGUGAAGCGGCAAAAGCUCAAAUUUGAAAUCUGGUACCUUCGGUGCCCGAGUUGUAAUUUGGAGAGGGCAACUUUGGGGCCGUUCCUUGUCUAUGUUCCUUGGAACAGGACGUCAUAGAGGGUGAGAAUCCCGUGUGGCGAGGAGUGCGGUUCUUUGUAAAGUGCCUUCGAAGAGUCGAGUUGUUUGGGAAUGCAGCUCUAAGUGGGUGGUAAAUUCCAUCUAAAGCUAAAUAUUGGCGAGAGACCGAUAGCGAACAAGUACAGUGAUGGAAAGAUGAAAAGAACUUUGAAAAGAGAGUGAAAAAGUACGUGAAAUUGUUGAAAGGGAAGGGCAUUUGAUCAGACAUGGUGUUUUGUGCCCUCUGCUCCUUGUGGGUAGGGGAAUCUCGCAUUUCACUGGGCCAGCAUCAGUUUUGGUGGCAGGAUAAAUCCAUAGGAAUGUAGCUUGCCUCGGUAAGUAUUAUAGCCUGUGGGAAUACUGCCAGCUGGGACUGAGGACUGCGACGUACGUCAAGGAUGCUGGCAUAAUGGUUAUAUGCCGCCCGUCUUGAACCAACGGACCAA